AGCGGCGGAUGGGUGAGUAACACGUGGGGAACCUGCCCCUAAGUCUGGGAUACCAUUUGGAAACAGGUGCUAAUACCGGAUAAUAAAGCAGAUCGCAUGAUCAGCUUUUGAAAGGCGGCGUAAGCUGUCGCUAAGGGAUGGCCCCGCGGUGCAUUAGCUAGUUGGUAAGGUAACGGCUUACCAAGGCGACAAUGCAUAGCCGAGUUGAGAGACUGAUCGGCCACAUUGGGACUGAGACACGGCCCAAACUCCUACGGGAGGCAGCAGUAGGGAAUCUUCCACAAUGGACGCAAGUCUGAUGGAGCAACGCCGCGUGAGUGAAGAAGGUUUUCGGAUCGUAAAGCUCUGUUGUUGGUGAAGAAGGAUAGAGGUAGUAACUGGCCUUUAUUUGACGGUAAUCAACCAGAAAGUCACGGCUAACUACGUGCCAGCAGCCGCGGUAAUACGUAGGUGGCAAGCGUUGUCCGGAUUUAUUGGGCGUAAAGCGAGCGCAGGCGGAAAAAUAAGUCUAAUGUGAAAGCCCUCGGCUUAACCGAGGAACUGCAUCGGAAACUGUUUUUCUUGAGUGCAGAAGAGGAGAGUGGAACUCCAUGUGUAGCGGUGGAAUGCGUAGAUAUAUGGAAGAACACCAGUGGCGAAGGCGGCUCUCUGGUCUGCAACUGACGCUGAGGCUCGAAAGCAUGGGGUAGCGAACAGGAUUAGAUACCCUGGUAGUCCAUGCCGUAAACGAUGAGUGCUAAGUGU
RNAcentral lists this ribosomal RNA (744 nucleotides) under uncultured bacterium. RNAcentral describes it as "bacterial SSU rRNA". It matches the Rfam family "Bacterial small subunit ribosomal RNA", at positions 94 to 823 of the family's 1533-position model. The record is from RNAcentral.